RNAcentral lists this ribosomal RNA (473 nucleotides) under uncultured bacterium. Its description in RNAcentral is "bacterial SSU rRNA". It matches the Rfam family "Bacterial small subunit ribosomal RNA", at positions 335 to 801 of the family's 1533-position model. The record is from RNAcentral.
ACUCCUACGGGAGGCAGCAGUGGGGAAUAUUGCACAAUGGGGAAACCCUGAUGCAGCCAUGCCGCGUGUGUGAAGAAGGCCUUCGGUUGUAAAGCGACUUCAGUAGGGAGGAAGGUAGUGUAGUUAACACCUGCACUAUUUGACGUUACCUACAGAAGAAGCACCGGCUAACUCCGUGCCAGCAGCCGCGGUAAUACGGAGGGGUGCGAGCGUUAAUCGGAAUUACUGGGCGUAAAGCGCAUGCAGGCGGCCUGUUAAGUCAGAUGUGAAAGCCCGGGGGCUUAACCUCGGAAUUGCAUUUGAAACUGGCAGGCUAGAGUCUUGUAGAGGGGGUAGAAUUUCAGGUGUAGCGGUGAAAUGCGUAGAGAUCUGAAGGAAUACCAGUGGCGAAGGCGGCCCCCUGGACAAAGACUGACGCUCAGAUGCGAAAGCGUGGGGAGCGAAACAGGAUUAGAUACCCUGGUAGCUACGAG